UACGUAGGGUCCGAGCGUUGUCCGGAAUUACUGGGCGUAAAGAGCUCGUAGGUGGUUUGUCGCGUUGUUCGUGAAAACUCACAGCUUAACUGUGGGCGUGCGGGCGAUACGGGCAGACUUGAGUACUGCAGGGGGAGACUGGAAUUCCUGGUGUAGCGGUGGAAUGCGCAGAUAUCAGGAGGAACACCGGUGGCGAAGGCGGGUCUCUGGGCCGAUACUGACGCUGAGGCGCGAAAGCGUGGGGGAGCAAACAGG
RNAcentral lists this ribosomal RNA (255 nucleotides) under uncultured bacterium. RNAcentral describes it as "partial 16S ribosomal RNA". It matches the Rfam family "Bacterial small subunit ribosomal RNA", at positions 524 to 776 of the family's 1533-position model. The record is from RNAcentral.